RNAcentral lists this ribosomal RNA (292 nucleotides) under uncultured bacterium. Its description in RNAcentral is "partial 16S ribosomal RNA". It matches the Rfam family "Bacterial small subunit ribosomal RNA", at positions 505 to 796 of the family's 1533-position model. The record is from RNAcentral.
GUGCCAGCAGCCGCGGUAAUACGUAGGGUGCAAGCGUUGUCCGGAAUUAUUGGGCGUAAAGAGCUCGUAGGCGGUCUGUUGCGUCGGCUGUGAAAACCCGGGGCUCAACCCCGGGCCUGCAGCCGAUACGGGCAGACUAGAGUUCGGCAGGGGAGACUGGAAUUCCUGGUGUAGCGGUGAAAUGCGCAGAUAUCAGGAGGAACACCGGUGGCGAAGGCGGGUCUCUGGGCCGAUACUGACGCUGAGGAGCGAAAGCGUGGGGAGCGAACAGGAUUAGAUACCCUCGUAGUCC